UAUUUAUAGUCUAGCCUGCUCACUGACAAAAAGUGUUAAAUAGCCGCGGUAUUUUGACCGUGCAAAGGUAGCAUAAUCAUUAGUUUUUUAAUUGGAAACUUGUAUGAAUGGUUGGACAAAGAAAAGACUGUCUCUUUUAUUAAAAUUGAAAUUAACUUCUAAGUGAAAAGGCUUAGAUUUUCUAGAGGGACGAUAAGACCCUAUAAAGCUUCAUAAGUUAAAUAAAUUAGAUGGAUUUUUAGAAUAAAAGUAAAUUUAGUAAGCUUAUUUAGUUGGGGCGACAAGGGUAUAAAAUUAAAUAACUGCUAUUAAGGUUAGACAAUUAUAUUUGGUUGGAUUGUAAUUGAUCCUCGCUAUGGAUUAAAAGAUUAAGUUACUUUAGGGAUAACAGCGUAAUUUCUUUUAAGAGUUCUUAUCAAAGGAGAAGUUUGCGACCUCGAUGUUGAAUUAAAAUGUCUUUAUAGUGCAGAAGCUAUAAAAGAAGGUCUGUUCGACCUUUAAUUUUUUACAUGAUUUGAGU
This 520-nucleotide ribosomal RNA is filed under the name Scylla serrata (giant mud crab). RNAcentral's name for it is "partial large subunit ribosomal RNA". It matches the Rfam family "Bacterial large subunit ribosomal RNA", at positions 1844 to 2610 of the family's 2925-position model. The record is from RNAcentral. Lineage: Eukaryota; Metazoa; Arthropoda; Malacostraca; Decapoda; Portunidae.